GGGCUCAUAGUUUAGUUGGUAAAAACAUACCGCUCAUAACGGUACAAUCGUAGGUUCAAAUCCUACUGAGCCUA
RNAcentral lists this transfer RNA (74 nucleotides) under Jakoba bahamiensis. RNAcentral describes it as "tRNA-Ile". It matches the Rfam family "tRNA". From Rfam's summary of the family: Transfer RNA (tRNA) molecules are approximately 80 nucleotides in length. Their secondary structure includes four short double-helical elements and three loops (D, anti-codon, and T loops). The record is from RNAcentral. Lineage: Eukaryota; Jakobea; Jakobida; Jakobidae.